ACGUAGGGUGCGAGCGUUAAUCGGAAUUACUGGGCGUAAAGCGUGCGCAGGCGGUUCGCUAAGACAGGUGUGAAAUCCCCGGGCUUAACCUGGGAAUGGCGCUUGUGACUGGCGGGCUGGAGUACGGGAGAGGGGGGUGGAAUUCCUCGUGUAGCAGUGAAAUGCGUAGAUAUGCGGAGGAACACCGAUGGCGAAGGCAGCCUCCUGGGCCAGUACUGACGCUCAUGCGCGAAAGCGUGGGGAGCAAACAG
Molecule: ribosomal RNA, 251 nt
Filed under: uncultured prokaryote
Description: partial 16S ribosomal RNA
Rfam family: Bacterial small subunit ribosomal RNA
Source: RNAcentral